CCCCCCCGGCACUGGGCAAGCACCUGGUUUGUGGUGUUCCUAUAUCAGUCAGGGGCAGAGCAGAUGGCAGUCCUUUGUUCAUCCUAGCUUGAUGCCUGGCUUGGUGGCCAAAGCUGUUUCAUGCCUAGGACACAUGA
Rattus norvegicus (Norway rat) is the source of this 137-nucleotide small nucleolar RNA. Ensembl annotates it as small nucleolar RNA SNORA48. NCBI's taxonomy places the organism in Eukaryota, Metazoa, Chordata, Mammalia, Rodentia, Muridae. The record is from Ensembl.